GGCGGGGUGGCGGGGGGGGGGAGUGCAGCGACACACUUCCUCUGUAUGCUGGUAAAUCUAGUUUAUUUAUGUACAAAGACAAAUUACGCUUUUAAUAUGAUAGCACCUCACAUCUGCUUCUGAACAUGUCAGAAGGAUUGUGUGCUGUUCAUUUGCAUGCAAAAGACUGCAACAUGUAUCACAGGCAUGAAAAAUGAGUUGUCUUUUUUGGAGCCUCAUUUUUUUGAGGGAUAAAGUGUUUUGGCGCCACCAAGAGGCCGACAGGCGCAUUACAGGGUCACCCUAGAUGGGUCAACUGGAAUUAACAAAGGAGUGUAAGUACACACACACACACACACACACACACGCAGACAGCAACAUAGGGCUUAAGGCUGCAGGGGACACACCCAGGACGGGACACCAGUCCAUUGCAAGGCAGCCCAAGCAGGACUCGAACCCCAGACCCACCAGAGAGCAGGACCCGGUUCAACCCACUGCGCAACCGCGCCCCCGGAGUAAUUUGUGGAAGCAGAUUGAAGACUUUGGACGUGGCGUUUUCAUUCCGCUUCCCACGGAGACUCCCCCAGCGGCCUGUCUCUUUGAUUUCCUCCCGCCGCACUCCGAGCCGCUCUAUCGGCGCACCCUUAUCGGCUCCCUCGCCCCACCGAGGAGGCGCUCCAUCCUCCCACGAUAUUGAGGUUUUUCACUAUGCUCGCGAGUUCCGCAUUCCUUCGCUUUUGCACACCUGGACCUUUGGAAAUGCACGGCCUUCUUUUUGUCUUGCGUUCUCCAUUCCAACCGCUUGUCCAGGGUCGCAGGGGUCCGGAGCCUAUCCCUGAAGGAUGAAGUUCGGGGCAGGGUGCACCCCGAGUAGGAUGCCAAUCGUACACACACUUUCGCUCAGGGUUGCCAGUUCACCUGAAGUACACCUUUCGAGUGUGGGAGGAAACCAGAGCGCCCACAGGAAAGCAUCCAAACUCCACGCAGACCGAGCCGGGCUAGAACCCACGGCCCGAGAGUCACCGGGCACCGGUACCCCGCUGAUGGGAAUGGAAUGGAGGGACCAGCUGACCCAGUGCUGCGGUCACCGUGGACACGGAGCACGGCGCCGCCGCCCCGUGCGUCACGCUCCAAUGUUCACUCCUUAUUGCUGCCCUUCGGCCUUCAAGAGG
RNAcentral lists this long non-coding RNA (1151 nucleotides) under Scleropages formosus (Asian bonytongue). Its description in RNAcentral is "lncRNA (ENSSFOG00015029482.1)". Lineage: Eukaryota; Metazoa; Chordata; Actinopteri; Osteoglossiformes; Osteoglossidae. The record is from RNAcentral.